GAUGAACGCUAGCUACAGGCUUAACACAUGCAAGUCGAGGGGUAACAAGAGAAAAGCUUGCUUUUCUUGUUGACGACCGGCGCACGGGUGAGUAACGCGUAUCCAACCUGCCCAUAACUAGGGAAUAACCUUGCGAAAGUAAGACUAAUACCCUAUAAUUUCCUUUGAAGGCAUCGGAUUAGGAAUAAAGAUUUAUCGGUUAUGGAUGGGGAUGCGUCUGAUUAGCUUGUUGGCGGGGUAACGGCCCACCAAGGCAACGAUCAGUAGGGGUUCAGGGAGGAAGGUCCCCCAAAUUGGAACUGAGACACGGCCCAAACCCCUACGGGAGGCAGCAGUGAGGAAUAUUGGUCAAUGGGCGGAAGCCUGACCCAGCAAAGUAGCGUGCAGGAUGACGGCCCUAUGGGUUGUAAACUGUUUUUAUACAGGAAAAAAGUUAGCCACGUGUGGUUAUUUGUAGGUACUGUGUGAAUAAGGACCGGCUAAUUCCGUGCCAGCCCCCGCGGUAA
This 506-nucleotide ribosomal RNA is filed under the name uncultured bacterium. Its description in RNAcentral is "partial 16S ribosomal RNA". It matches the Rfam family "Bacterial small subunit ribosomal RNA", at positions 28 to 523 of the family's 1533-position model. The record is from RNAcentral.